UACGGAGGGCGCAAGCGUUGUUCGGAGUUACUGGGCGUAAAGCGCGUGUAGGCGGCCAGGUAAGUCGGAUGUGAAAGCCCGGGGCCCAACCCCGGAACUGCACCCGAUACUGUCUGGCUGGAGUCCCGGAGAGGAUGGCGGAAUUUCCGGUGUAGAGGUGAAAUUCGUAGAUAUCGGAAGGAACACCAGUGGCGAAGGCGGCCAUCUGGACGGUGACUGACGCUGAGACGCGAAAGCGUGGGGAGCAAAUAGG
RNAcentral lists this ribosomal RNA (253 nucleotides) under uncultured bacterium. RNAcentral describes it as "partial 16S ribosomal RNA". It matches the Rfam family "Bacterial small subunit ribosomal RNA", at positions 524 to 776 of the family's 1533-position model. The record is from RNAcentral.